AUUGAUUUUUGUAUUAGCCCUGUGUGUUGUUUCUAAGGAGAUUCUGCUUUCUGUUUUAGAAUGGUGUUACAUUUCAUUGUUUAUUAAUUAUAAUUUCUGCCAACAUGGUUUGUGUCUGAUACAAUUUAUUAAAAGUCUGUCCUAAUCUUUUUUUCUAAUUGUUACUUCCUUCAGAAACUUCAUUAAUUUUGAGCACUGAUGUGUAAAAAUGACAGAAAAAAGCAUAAUUCCCAAAAUGUUCACUGACCAGGUCCUUUCCCCUUGUGUCCAUUGAAAUCUUGCCCUAGAACACAGAAGCAAUUCAGUGGCAUCCGCUCCAGGUAUACCCAGUGAGUAAUCAUGCAAGAAAUAACCUGUAAAUAUUACAUUUCUCAAACCAAAAGAAGAUGAAGGUCCAAAGUGGAAUUGGCUAUUCUGAAAUUGGUCCAUUUUUUAGAAUGUAUAGGUCUCUAGAGCCUAGUAUUUCCUAAAAUAUUUGUGAAUAUGGAAGGAUUAGAGGAAAGGAUGUUUUGCUUGAAUUUUCCAGAUAGUUAGCUCUCAGCUACUCCUUUCUUCACUCUUUUG
RNAcentral lists this long non-coding RNA (564 nucleotides) under Bos taurus (domestic cattle). Its description in RNAcentral is "long non-coding RNA NONBTAT013695". The record is from RNAcentral. Lineage: Eukaryota; Metazoa; Chordata; Mammalia; Artiodactyla; Bovidae.